This 466-nucleotide ribosomal RNA is filed under the name uncultured bacterium. Its description in RNAcentral is "partial 16S ribosomal RNA". It matches the Rfam family "Bacterial small subunit ribosomal RNA", at positions 28 to 507 of the family's 1533-position model. The record is from RNAcentral.
GACGAACGCUGGCGGCGUGCUUAACACAUGCAAGUCGAACGGAAAGGCCCUGCUUGCAGGGUACUCGAGUGGCGAACGGGUGAGUAACACGUGGGUGAUCUGCCCCGCACUUCGGGAUAAGCUUGGGAAACUGGGUCUAAUACCGGAUAGGAACCAUCUUUAGUGUGGUGGUUGGAAAGUUUUUUCGGUGUAGGAUGAGCUCGCGGCCUAUCAGCUUGUUGGUGGGGUAAUGGCCUACCAAGGCGGCGACGGGUAGCCGGCCUGAGAGGGUGUACGGCCACAUUGGGACUGAGAUACGGCCCAGACUCCUACGGGAGGCAGCAGUGGGGAAUAUUGCACAAUGGGCGCAAGCCUGAUGCAGCGACGCCGCGUGGGGGAUGAAGGCCUUCGGGUUGUAAACUCCUUUCGCUAGGGACGAAGCUUUGUUGUGACGGUACCUAGAUAAGAAGCACCGGCUAACUACGUG